This 406-nucleotide ribosomal RNA is filed under the name uncultured bacterium. RNAcentral describes it as "partial 16S ribosomal RNA". It matches the Rfam family "Bacterial small subunit ribosomal RNA", at positions 30 to 526 of the family's 1533-position model. The record is from RNAcentral.
AUUGAACGCUGGCGGCAGGCCUAACACAUGCAAGUCGAACGAGUGGCGGACGGGUGAGUAAUGACAGGGAAACUGCCUGAUGGAGGGGGAUAACUACUGGAAAAGGUAGCUAAUACCGCAUACCAUAAGGUGUGCCCAGAUGGGAUUAGCGAGUUGGUGGGGUAACGGCUCACCACGGCGACGAUCCCUAGCUGGUCUGAGGGGAUGACCGGCCACACUGGAACUGAGACACCGUCCAGACGCCUACGGGAGGCCGCAGUGGGGAAUAUUGCACAAUGGGCUCAAGCCUGUUGCAGCCCUGCCGCGUGUAUGAAGUAUGCCUUCGGGUCGGAAAGUACUGUCAGCGGGGAGGCGUUACCCUCAGAAGAAGCACCGGCUAACUCCGUGCCAGCAGCCGCGGUAAUUC